UUGCAGCCAAUUAAGCCGACUGUGCUCUUUUCCCCAUGGGGGCCCAGUGUGCAGUGGCUGCAAACAGCAGCCUCCUCGGUAGUGUAUGUAGCCUGUUGCUUGUACAGGUUGCCCUAAGGGACCUUGGAUACAGCU
Molecule: small nucleolar RNA, 135 nt
Organism: Capra hircus (goat)
Lineage: Eukaryota; Metazoa; Chordata; Mammalia; Artiodactyla; Bovidae
Gene: SNORA70
Rfam family: Small nucleolar RNA SNORA70
About the family: snoRNA U70 seems to be exclusive to mammals and is a member of the H/ACA class of snoRNA which contain H (ANANNA) and ACA box motifs. H/ACA box snoRNAs are involved in the conversion of uridines to pseudouridines (5-ribosyluracil) a constituent of structural RNAs (transfer, ribosomal, small nuclear, and small nucleolar).
Source: Ensembl